AGAGUUUGAUCAUGGCUCAGAUUGAACGCUGGCGGCAGGCCUAAGACAUGCAAGUCGAGCGAGAAAGCCCUUCGGGGUGAGUACAGCGGCGGACGGGUGAGUAACGCGUAGGAAUCUACCCAGUAGUGGGGGACAACUAGUGGAAACGCUAGCUAAUACCGCAUACGCCCUAAGGGGGAAAGCGGGGGAUCUUCGGACCUCGUGCUAUUGGAUGAGCCUGCGUAAGAUUAGCUUGUUGGUGAGGUAAUGGCUCACCAAGGCUACGAUCUUUAGCUGGUCUGAGAGGAUGAUCAGCCACACCGGGACUGAGACACGGCCCGGACUCCUACGGGAGGCAGCAGUCGGGAAUAUUGCGCAAUGGGGGAAACCCUGACGCAGCCAUGCCGCGUGUGUGAAGAAGGCCCUAGGGUUGUAAAGCACUUUCAAUUGGGAGGAAAAGCUAAUGGUUAAUAACUAUUAGCCCUGACGUUACCUUUAGAAGAAGCACCGGCUAACUCCGUGCCAGCAGCCGCGGUAAUACGGAGGGUGCAAGCGUUAAUCGGAAUUACUGGGCGUAAAGCGCGCGUAGGCGGUUUUUUAAGUCGGAUGUGAAAGCCCCGGGCUCAACCUGGGAACUGCAUCCGAUACUGGAUAACUAGAAUGCGGGAGAGGGAGGUAGAAUUCCAUGUGUAGCAGUGAAAUGCGUAGAUAUAUGGAGGAAUAC
Molecule: ribosomal RNA, 703 nt
Filed under: uncultured bacterium
Lineage: Bacteria
Description: bacterial SSU rRNA
Rfam family: Bacterial small subunit ribosomal RNA
Source: RNAcentral